AGGCCAAAACCGUUCCCGAAAUAUCCAUUGUUCUUCCCUAAACAAAAAACCACCAUCCGUCACGCGCCAGCACGAAUCCCGUGCUCCGCCUCGUCCUCGCUUUCUCUCUUCCCUCUCCCUCUUUCUCCUCUAAUUAAAAAUUAAAAAAAAAAAAAAAAGGAAAUCCUAAUCCUAACCCGAGCCCUGGAAGUUUGAAUGCCUUCGAGAAUCCCCAAUUUCUCCACUUUCCAAUGCGCGACUUCGAUCGGGGCUACCCCGCCUCGCUCCGUCCCUACGACGAUGGCCGGGGGCUGGAGGUCGUGAGUGGGAAGGCCAGCCAGACGAAUAUCUGCCGCCUUCCUUCGCCGCCUGUGGUGCGGCGGCCGCGGGCGGUCGGGGGAGGGGGCGUCCUCACGUCGUCGUCGGGGGCGGCGCCGUCGCGUGCCGCGGACGCAGAGGCGAAGCGGCGGCGGAGGGUGGCGGGAUACAAGGCCUACACGGUGGAGAGCAAGGUCAAGUCCUCGAUCCGCAAGGGCCUCCGGUGGGUCAAGGGCAUCGUCCGCGGCUGGUGAUGUUGCGGCGAUGAUCUCGCAGGAGACGUGGCGGAGACCUUUUGCCUCCAUUGUGACCGAACUGCCCUCCUUGUUUUGGUGUAUUACGUCUAGGUGCGUCGGAGUCCGGUCACCGGAGGCGAUGGAUGGGAUGCGGACGGAUGGCGCGGGUGUAAUAGGGGGGCAUUUUGGGAUCGUUGUGGAUUGUUUCGCGAUUAUUGUUGCAUUCUUUUAUUUUUUUUGUUUGCUAAAAUUUUAAAAUGUGUACUUGCUUGCCGAUUUUAAUUCAUGGUUAGUUCGUUGGGGCCUUGUAUUUUUAUUUUAUUAUUAUCUGGUAUUUUAUUUGAUUAAUUCGUCAUUUUUUUAAAGAACAUGAGAGGGACCCACUUAACAUACUCUAUUCAUGUUCCAAAAAUCUUGUUUAAAUAAUUCUUGAUGGA
RNAcentral lists this long non-coding RNA (970 nucleotides) under Elaeis guineensis (African oil palm). RNAcentral describes it as "long non-coding RNA (EGUI_LNC005928)". The record is from RNAcentral. Lineage: Eukaryota; Viridiplantae; Streptophyta; Magnoliopsida; Arecales; Arecaceae.